CUUGAUUGAAGAAUUUCUUGGGAAAAAAAUGUAUCACCACAGGAAUGUAAAGUAUCUGUUAUCCUGGAGUUCGCAUAUACCAUUGGCAGAUCGUUAGGUCUAAAUCAGAUCUAUUAUUCAAAAAAUUGAAAGGAACAAUUACAUGUGAACAUUAUAAUUAAAAGAUUAAACAUACUUGGGACGCCCAAUCACCACCGGUUUGGAACGCUGGUGCAGCAGUAGCAGCAGGAAUUGCUGCUGGUGCUGGUGCUGCUACUUCAUCUGCCCAAUUUUCAGCAGGUACAGCAUCAGCGUCAACUUCAUUAGCCCAACCAGGUUCUGCUGUAGUUGUUGCUUCAACAGGAGCCACGAAUUCCUUAGCCGGUGCAAUUUCUUUUGCUGCUUGUUCUUCU
Molecule: long non-coding RNA, 392 nt
Organism: Vespa mandarinia (Asian giant hornet)
Lineage: Eukaryota; Metazoa; Arthropoda; Insecta; Hymenoptera; Vespidae
Source: RefSeq, a predicted model, not a curated record